This 1165-nucleotide ribosomal RNA is filed under the name unidentified. RNAcentral's name for it is "bacterial SSU rRNA". It matches the Rfam family "Bacterial small subunit ribosomal RNA", at positions 144 to 1293 of the family's 1533-position model. The record is from RNAcentral.
UAACUCCGGGAAACCGGGGCUAAUACCGGAUGGUUGUUUGAACCGCAUGGUUCAGACAUAAAAGGUGGCUUCGGCUACCACUUACAGAUGGACCCGCGGCGCAUUAGCUAGUUGGUGAGGUAACGGCUCACCAAGGCGACGAUGCGUAGCCGACCUGAGAGGGUGAUCGGCCACACUGGGACUGAGACACGGCCCAGACUCCUACGGGAGGCAGCAGUAGGGAAUCUUCCGCAAUGGACGAAAGUCUGACGGAGCAACGCCGCGUGAGUGAUGAAGGUUUUCGGAUCGUAAAGCUCUGUUGUUAGGGAAGAACAAGUGCCGUUCAAAUAGGGCGGCACCUUGACGGUACCUAACCAGAAAGCCACGGCUAACUACGUGCCAGCAGCCGCGGUAAUACGUAGGUGGCAAGCGUUGUCCGGAAUUAUUGGGCGUAAAGGGCUCGCAGGCGGUUUCUUAAGUCUGAUGUGAAAGCCCCCGGCUCAACCGGGGAGGGUCAUUGGAAACUGGGGAACUUGAGUGCAGAAGAGGAGAGUGGAAUUCCACGUGUAGCGGUGAAAUGCGUAGAGAUGUGGAGGAACACCAGUGGCGAAGGCGACUCUCUGGUCUGUAACUGACGCUGAGGAGCGAAAGCGUGGGGGAGCGAACAGGAUUAGAUACCCUGGUAGUCCACGCCGUAAACGAUGAGUGCUAAGUGUUAGGGGGGUUUCCGCCCCUUAGUGCUGCAGCUAACGCAUUAAGCACUCCGCCUGGGGAGUACGGUCGCAAGACUGAAACUCAAAGGAAUUGACGGGGGCCCGCACAAGCGGUGGAGCAUGUGGUUUAAUUCGAAGCAACGCGAAGAACCUUACCAGGUCUUGACAUCCUCUGACAAUCCUAGAGAUAGGACGUCCCCUUCGGGGGCAGAGUGACAGGUGGUGCAUGGUUGUCGUCAGCUCGUGUCGUGAGAUGUUGGGUUAAGUCCCGCAACGAGCGCAACCCUUGAUCUUAGUUGCCAGCAUUCAGUUGGGCACUCUAAGGUGACUGCCGGUGACAAACCGGAGGAAGGUGGGGAUGACGUCAAAUCAUCAUGCCCCUUAUGACCUGGGCUACACACGUGCUACAAUGGACAGAACAAAGGGCAGCGAAACCGCGAGGUUAAGCCAAUCCCACAAAUCUGUUCUCAGUU